UAACUGUAUUUGUUUUGUAAUUGAGGGUUUUGAUUACACAAUUUUUGGUGAUAUUCUUGGUCCAUAUAUGAUAAGCUUUUUUGUAUUCUCUGCUACUACCGUUUACCAUGUAAGACGCAUUAAAAUUUCAACUUUUAAAUAAUGCUAAUAUGUUGUAUACACGAAAUUCUUGAAUAUUAAUAUAUUUAUAUUGUAUUGUUUAACCAAUUAUCUUUUAUCCAUAAACAAAUGGCCUCACGAAAUAUGUGGAUACUAACUCAUCUUCUGUUCAUUUUUCAUAAAAGUACUUUUUGUCAUCUUAUCAGCACUUGGGACAGUCUUGAUUGGUUUUGGUUUAAAUGAUGACAUCCCCAUUAUACCAAAUUUCUUUUAGUUUCCAUUUUGCAAUUUCAAUAAUGUUAGUUUGCUGUUUCCACUUCUGAGCUGGAUUGAUGUUGCAAAACUUUAAUAAUUUAGAUGUACUUGCCAUCCACUUUUCCAUAUUUUUCUUUUGUGGCCUGUGCUAUUUAUCAUAACAUGCUUAAAAAUUCUGAUUACUCUGUUUAAAAAAAAAAGAGAAUUCUAAUUACUCAAUUCCUCCCCCCCUCUUUUUUGCACUAAAAAAUCUUCUGCGGUAACAUUGUUGGAAAGUACGAUCAACAUAGUUUUAUGGAUCAUCAUUUUCGAAAGUCACCCACUUUGAAGUGUCACUUGCAAUUACUAAGCCUUCCCAUAUCCAUAAUCUUGAAUUAUAUGCAUUGACUACAUUGUGGUCAGCAAGGCAUGAUCUUCUGGUGCAAGAAAAUUGAAGCAAUGUCAUAGUUGAUAUUUCACACAAUUUUGACGAUUGGUCAAGUUCUGAAGAGGGUGUUUACAUAUGGUUUUGUCUAGAGGGAAGAUCUCUUUAUUACAUCCAAACUUUGGUAAUCAAGAUUCGAACAAAUUGAGAAAAGAUACCUUUAUUCGUUUCUCACCCCAAAUAUAUUAACAUUUCUAUCCUUUGGACCAUCCUUCUUUCAGUUAGCGUUGCUCAGUUCUCUCUCUCUCAUUGUGUUUUGGGAUGUAAUGGUGCUUUUGAUAUAUGCUUUACACACUUCCUAAUGUUAGACAAAAUCUAAGCUGCCUUUAAUAAUUCACCACUCAAUCAUUCCUUUCAUUUAUAUGCGCAAGUGUCUUUUCUUUUUUCUUUUUUUACUUUUAAAUUUUACAAGAACAAUCGUGUGUCAUAGUUGAUACAAAUGACAUGUGAUCAAGCAAUUGAAAUGUUGGUGAUAUCUGGUUCUUUUCCAUUAACUUUUGUUGUCCUUUGGGUUAAAGGAUAUUCAUGUAUUGUGAUGUAUGAACAUGUGUAGGUGCACUGAUCAUGCUCCUGAAGAUGUACCCGUGGCAUUUAACAAAACUCUAGAUGAGCUGGAACUUGACUACAUUGAUCUGUACCUUGUGACCUAUUCAUCGAAAACCUGAUUCCAGCAGAUAACCGGAUGAAAAAUGAUGCUGGUAAGCAAGCAAUAGAGAAACUUUAUGAUUCUGGGGAGGCUAGAGAUAUUGGAUUUAGCAAUUUCUCUACUAAAAACUGGGAGUUCUUCUCGAAACAACUCGUAUUCCUCUUAUUGUUAACCAACUGGAGUACCAAUGGUAAGAUUAGAGGGAAGGCAACAGUUUGUGAUGGGAGCUGGUAUUGAGAAAUGUGGUUUCUAAAGCUGUGAAGUUUGUCGGCUAGCCCAAGUCAUGCUUUUGUCGUAGUUAUGACUGAUUGAUCAUUACAGCUGCUGCAUAUAUGGCUGUGGUUUUGUUGAUAUAGUUACUUGCGUCGAAGGUUGAUGCAUCAUCCCGCUGUAAUAAUGAUUAAACAAGUUUAAUUGUUAGCUAUGUCUUGAUGAAAUUAACAGAAAUCAACAGGA
This is an RNA transcript of Lycium barbarum (goji berry), 1880 nucleotides long. It is a transcript of the gene named NADPH-dependent aldo-keto reductase, chloroplastic-like, with no coding region annotated. The record is from RefSeq and is a predicted model, not a curated record. NCBI's taxonomy places the organism in Eukaryota, Viridiplantae, Streptophyta, Magnoliopsida, Solanales, Solanaceae. The transcript is spliced from 3 exons.